GCCGAAUCUGUGCUUUUGAAGUGCACAUCUUUCGAAGGAAAGAAAAGUGUUGCAGAGAUCAGAACAGGUGAGGACACAGAAAGCACCGAAGAGGAAAUCCUUCUUCUGAGAGACGCCAGGACUGCAGCUGACUGGUGUAGCAGGAGAAACUGGGAUGGAAAAAUACAAUUUCCCAUUGUCCUUUCAAGA
Sinocyclocheilus rhinocerous is the source of this 189-nucleotide long non-coding RNA. RefSeq lists it as uncharacterized. NCBI's taxonomy places the organism in Eukaryota, Metazoa, Chordata, Actinopteri, Cypriniformes, Cyprinidae. The record is from RefSeq and is a predicted model, not a curated record. The transcript is spliced from 3 exons.